AUAAAACAGUUUUUUAAAUAAAAAAGGACGAAUAUACAAAUACCGUAUAAGUUUGAAACUAAAUAAAAUAAUAUCUAAAUAAAUCGCAAAUGGGGCAUAUAAUAAAAUAUAAUGAAACAGUUUGAAAUAAAGAGGAAAUGAUUAAAUUAAAAUCAAAAUGAAAGAAAAGGUACAAAUUAUAAUAACAGAUAAGUGUCAUGGACUACAUCAAAAUGCAUUCAAAGUUAUGAGGACGAAAUGGGACAUUAUCCCAAGUCUCAAAUGCGCUGCAUUUCAACCACUCAGGCCGAGGAUUAAAUCGGAAAUGAAAUAAAAUAAGUGGGCGAAAUUUAAAAAAAAAAGAAAAUGCAAAAAGGACUAAAUCAAAUGGCUUAGGAAAAGAGGAGGGACCUUGAACGAAAAUAUCCCAUUUUAGCCUUAAAAAACAUGCUGCCGUUUCUGUGGCCAUUUAAGCCAUUCUUUUUUCUUUUUCAUUUCAGCUUCUAUUUUAAAAAAGAAAAAAGAAAACAGAGGGCCUUUACCCUCUCUCCCUCUCCCUGCUCAUUUCGGUUAGGGUUCUUAGAACCUUCAUCGCCGCCUUCACCGCAGCGCCACGACAGGCGGUGGUUGGGGUGUAAACCGGGCUUUCAAGCCCCUGUUUAAGGCGAACUCAACAGCGAAAACUUCCUCAACCAAAGAAGAUCCAAAGAAGGAACCCCCUACGACCUCUUUGGGUCGAAUCCGACGACGGAGGAGCGAUCUCCGACGACGGUCACUUCGAUUCGGGUAAGUCCCCUUCUUUGAUUUUAUACCCUUUUUGUUUUUUAGAUUUGUAGUAUAAAUAAAAAGAAAUUUAAAGAGAUGAAAGAACGAAAUGAAAACAAAGAAAAAAAUAAAUCAGAGAUCAACCUUUAAAUUUUGUUCUGUUCUUUUAUUCAAAUGUGCGUCGCCCUCCCGUUACAAUCAGUUUCAUUUCGGCUUUAUAGCCGAUUCCCAUAUUAAAAUAUUGUUGUUUUAUUCUCUGCUACUGCUUGUGCUUCUUGCUGCCAUUUUUCCUCUUUUCCAAAUGUUUGCAGGUCAUGGGAGUGUCAGACGCGUGGAAGGCCGGUGAUUGGUGCCCCGAGCGGUGGUGGCGCGCGUGAGAAGGCUGGUGGCUGAAGGCAUGCGGCUGAAAACUUUGGUGGCUGCUGAAAUUUUUUUUUUAACAUAGUGGGCUUGGGCUAUUAGGGUUUAUAAAUUGGGUUUGGGUAUUGUAUUUGGACUAAGGGUAAAAUUUGGGCCUUACACUGUGAUUGUGCCAUCAACAAAUUGAAGCUUGUUCUUGGAUAAGAGCGCCAGUUUCAUUGCUCGAGACCAAGAAUGAUAAUUCGAGCUUGAUAAGGCAGGAAAAACAAGAACUAAGGCUAGAUUUUCAUUUGGAUGAAGGUAAUAAGGACUAGAAGGUAGUGUAGGAUCAUAGAGUGCCAUUGGAAAGAAAGAAACCAAUGAAAAUCAAAGAAACAGAGUGUUUGGGAAGCGAGAAAAUGUAGAAAAAUGCAAGAGAAUUUUACAUCUGAUACCAUGUAGAAAAGGAGUGUAAGGGAAUUGUUAAGAGUUCUUUUUCACCAUUCAAAGGAUUAGUUAUAUACAACUUAAAAAAGAAAAGAGAAAUAACAGAAUUGAGAACUAACAUAGGUGUAACAGACUAACUGCUACAUCUGCUAACUAACUAAUAGUUAAAUUAGAUCUAUAUUACUAACAACGUUAAAUAUAAUUCUAUGAUAUUGAAAAAAAAAUUUUAAAAAAAUUAUUCAUUGAAUAAAAAAAAUAUUUUGAAUUGAUAACUCAAUAAAUUUACGCAUUAAACAUUUAUGAACUAUUGUCAGUAUUUUUAUUAUAUUGGUCUUAGAAGUAUGAUGCCUAAAAUCUAAUCAUGCGGGUAGUUUUAUUCUUCCACAUUCUCGAGUAAAUAUGAUAAAAUAUUAUAAUAUAAUGCUUAAACUAAAAAAUAAUUAAUAUUAAUUAAAAUAACAUAUUAAAAAUUACUUUAGAUAUAAUUCUAUCCAAAUAAAAAUUUUAAAUGUGAU
RNAcentral lists this long non-coding RNA (2045 nucleotides) under Gossypium barbadense (sea-island cotton). Its description in RNAcentral is "long non-coding RNA (GBAR_LNC000360)". Lineage: Eukaryota; Viridiplantae; Streptophyta; Magnoliopsida; Malvales; Malvaceae. The record is from RNAcentral.